Molecule: long non-coding RNA, 6743 nt
Filed under: Octopus vulgaris (common octopus)
Lineage: Eukaryota; Metazoa; Mollusca; Cephalopoda; Octopoda; Octopodidae
Source: RNAcentral
AUACUUAAAAGGGGUUUUCAAGCUGAUACCCUCGAGUCCCCUUAAUACAGUCUUAAUUUCUAGCUGUGUACAUAGGGCUGUUGAACAACGAACACAUACACACACACACACACACUCACACGCACACAUGUGCAUCUAAUGAUUUCUCAACAUCUAAUUAUCAAAGUGGAAAAAUUAUAAGAAAAAUCUAUUUCUAUUCAUUUUUUCAUACACACACACACACAUACAAAAUUCCUGUUAUCUGCCAUAAAUCUUUAGUUUAAAAUUUGAAAUUUAUAUUUCUAGCAUUUUAUUUAUUUUAUUAAUGACCAAACUAAAGGUGGUGUUUGAAAAUAUUCUAAUUUUUGUUUGUAUUUCUUGUCUGUCAUACAUUUAUAAGAUGUUGUUGUCAUUGUGUUUAAAGCGUUUUCAUCACGCAGAAGAUGUUAUCAUCAUUAUGUUUGUGUUUUCACCACACAAAGAUAGCUAAGUCAUUUCACUCAUAAUAAAUUGUAACGUCUUCGAUAUUAAUGUUAAUCUCCUACCAAACAAAGAUUUGUCUUGCAGCAUUUUGCUUCCAUACACCACAUGAAUUCUUUAAAAGCAAUGAAUCUUAAAGGACUGUUGUUAAAGUUGUUAGUGGGGUUUUUUUGUUUGUUUUGUUUUUUUGACACCUAGGUAUAAAAAUAUGGAGUUUUAAAUUAACACCUACUGUGAAUUGAAAGAACAAAUAAUAACAGGCCAUUAUGCUUAAUUAUAUUUAACCAUGAAAUAGGAGAGUGACAAUGAUCUUCGGAAUUAGAAAAAUUGUUCUAAUUCCACUAGUAACCCUUUCGUUACCAACCCGGCUGAAACUGGCUCUGGCUCUGAGUACAAAUGUCUUGUUUUCACAAGUUUUGAAUUAAAAUCUUCCACCAAACCUUAGUCAUAAUCUAUGUUCUUAAAACUAGCUGAAUGAUAGCUAAGUUAUUUUACUAAAUUUUUUGUUAUAUUUAAAGUAAUUGAAAGAAAUACAGAGCAUCUCAAAAUAAAUACAGUAACGAAAGGGUUAAACAGUGAUUAACUCUUUUGUUACCAUAUUUCUAUUGAAACACAUUACCGCUGUUUUAAGUAAUUUAGAAAAUAAUGAAAAAUUUAGUAAAAUAUCCAUCAUAUUAAUUUGCAGUCUGAAACAAAAAUUAUAAAAUUUUGAGGGUAAGAUUUAAAUGUAAAUCACAUUAAGACAAAAAGUUUAUAUCAUAAAACUUAGAGCAGUUUCAAAAAGUUUAAAAUGAACUUUUGAAAGUAACUUCCAGAAAGAGUUAAGUAUACGUUUGUCUUAAAUAUUAGUGAGUUAUGUAUACAAAAAGAUUGUCUUCCUUGAAAAGAAUCCAUGUCCUGUUUUGUAGAGGGCAUGGCUUGCUGGUGCUAAUAACCAAGUAACAUAACUCUUCUGUUCCUGUUAGGUUUCCUGUCCCAUGAAAAAAAAAGAAAAAAUUCUUUUAAACUUUUACAUAACAUGCAAAGAUAAAAAUGGUUGUGAGAGUAAAAGUGCUACACUACGAACCACAUGAACCCAAGUGCAACCCCUACUUCAAUCUUUUCACUGUUUCCUUAUAUAAAAUAUCAAUUCUACCUGCUCUAGACUACACUAAAAAUAAAUACGGAUCCCAUUUAUUCCUUUAGGCAUGUAGCUGUAAAUACAACUGAUGUAAUAAUAUUAUAAAUGUUUCAACUAGGCGAAAAUCUUUUAAGCACAAACUUGAGACAGAAAAGAACAAAAGGUCCACUGACAAAAUAUUCAUCCUCAUCAUCAUCAUUUAAUGUCCGUUUUCUGUGUUGAUAUGGGUUGGACAGUUUGACAAGAGCUGGAGAGUUGUGGCAGGCUCCAGUUGUCUGUUUUGGCAUGGUUUCUAUGGCUGGAUGCUCCUCCUGGUGCCGGACACUUUACAGAGUGUACUGUGUGCUUUUUAUAUGAAACCAGCGCCAGUGGGGUUGUUAAGUAAUUUAUUGCGAGAAGGAGGGGAAUUGAGGGAAGUGGUUGUGUUCCAGGCAAGGGGUUAGAGUAUGAUAGAGGGACAGGAAUAGUUGUCUUACUAUAAAUGUGAUACUUGGCCAUCCCGGUAGAACAAAGAAUAAGGAAGGUGCAAGAGAGAGAGGAACCAUAUAUUGGGUGGGCGAGUUAACCUUAUUAUCAAUCAACUGAUAGUGUGUCUGCUGUUAUUAGCUCUUAAAUUAAGUUCUGUGAAUCAAAUUUUAGUGUUAUUUUCUGUCUCAGAUUACUGCUUAAAAUGUCUAAUUUUGCACCAGCAUUUUGACAGUCAUAAUUAGGCAAACCAUUCCACAAAUGUUAACUAAGAAAUCCAUCAUCAUAAUUGUUUUAAGAUCAUUGUUACCACAUUUGUAGGGGUCAAACAAGAUUUCCUGUCUUGGUGCUCACCCUGUGGCCAAUCAUCAUCUGUUUCCAAGCAAGGUAGUAUUUUUUCUAGACUAGAUAUAUUUUUUACAGAAGUCUACUAACAAACAGCAUCAUAUUUGUAUAAAUGGUGGCUUUGUGUGCAUUCAGUAUGCAGCGUCAUGACAGAAAUACACACACACACACACACCCACACAUAUAUACUGAUAAGGAAAUAAUUUAUUCUCAAGUGCAGAAUAAUGCUAACAGGAUAAACUAUCGAUAUUUUGCAGAAAAAUUUGCCGAUCCUGUUCCUGCUAUUAGCAUUAUUCUGUAUUUGAGAAUAUAUUAUUUCCUUAUCUGUAUCUUUCAAUACAUCUCAAUGAUUCUAAAGCAAACUUUGUUUACUUUCUUCUUAAUUCGAAUUUAUAUAUAUAUAUAUAUAUAUAUAUAUAUAUAUAUAUAUGCACACACACGCUACUGGUCUUAUCAUUUUCCAUCGGCCAAAUUCACUUACAAGACACGGUUUAAGUCGAAGACAUUUGCCGAAGGAGCAGCACAGUGGUACUGCACCUAAAACCAGAUGGUUGCAAUCUGACAUUCUUAACUAUACAAUUUAUUGUGGUUAAAGAACUAUAUGAAAUAGUUUUCAAAAGUAGAUUUUUAUCAUGUAUUGUCUCAUCUCUGUAUAGAAUUCCAGUGAGAAAGGUUCUAAUUUCACUGGAAUUUUAUACUCAGAAAUUUUCUCCCUACCUCUACUUUUCCUACAAACCACAUGCAGGACAUCAAACAUAUCAGUCUCCUGUUUCUGGGAGAAUUAAUUUUGAUAGUUGUGGGCAUUGUCUCUCCAUCUCUGGCUAAUCUAUAAAAACAAGACUAUUGACUUUAGUAACUCAAUCCCAAGUUACCAGUUAAAUUACACAUGGAUAUAACAAUAUUUAGAAAUAUUAAUGAUUUUUUUAAAUUUAAAAACAAUGAAAAGUGGUGGACGCAAACUGUCUCCUGGUUUAAUUCCACCACCUGGUCCUUGGAGACCAUUGUGUUACUGGUAUUCAGGUCAAGGCUCUUAUCUGAAGAUAAUAUCUUCCUUUCUUCUCAUCCAUUUUGCAGACCCAGAAUAGCAUCAUAGGUUUUGUGCUUCCUCCUCUCACUAAGUGUUAUUAUCAUCCUCUUUUUAAUGGUUGGAUGGAGUUUGUUGAGGCAGAUUCUCAACGGCUGAAUGCUCUUCCUGUUGCCAACCCUUACCUGUUUCCAAGCAAGGUAAUAAUUUCUCUUUGGCCAGACAUGUUUUCACGGAAGACUAGAAACAAAGGUGUCAAGAGAAAGAAACAUAGAGGACGCUUGUUCAGACUUCCUCAAGAAAUUUUCACAAGUGUUGUGUGUGUGCUUAUAUCAUCAUCAUCAUCAUCAUCAUCGUUUAACGUCCGCUUUCCAUGCUAGCAUGGGUUGGAGGAUUUGACUGAGGACUGGCGAACCAGAUGGCUGCACCAUCUCCAAUUUGAUAUGGCAGAGUUUCUACAACCACUCUGAGAGUGUAGUGGGUGCUUUUACAUGCCACCUGCACAGGAGCCAGUCCAGCGGCACUGGCAAUGACCUCGCUCGAAUGUUUUUCACAUGUCACCGGCACAAGUGCCAGUAAGGCGAUGCUGGUAACGAUCACGUUUGAAUGGUGCUUUUUAUGUGCCACCGGCACGAUAUAAAAUAUAGUGAAAUGGUAUUAGAACAAUGAUGAUAACUAUUAGGAGCUGAAGAUGAGAUGAAUAUGUUUGGUGUGUUUUUUUUUGUGUUGUUGAAUGUGAAUCUUUUGUAUUUUGUGUUCUCACAGUUCAAAGUUGUCGUUCAUUGAAAUUCUAGUUCCUGUAGAAAUAUAAUUAUUGUUUCUGUUCAGAAGAUUAGAGGAGACAUCACCUUGCUUGGAAACAGAUGAGGGUUAGUGACAGAGAAAGCAUCCAUCUGUAGGAAAUCUGCGUCAACGAAUUUCGUCUGGCCUGUAUAGAAAAGUGGGCAUAAAAAUAACGUUGCUGUUAUCGUCAAUGAUACAGGCUUUUAUUUAUUUAGAUUUACUUAAUAUGGUUUUACAUAUUUUAUAUUUUCUGUUUCAAAGAAAUAAUUCAAAAACAUUUACAUUUUUCUAUGGUUCACAGAUUUGAAAUCUUGAAUUAAAUAUUCACCAGUGUUGUGUAAAAUUAUAAACCAUUUCAAGUGGUACAUUUAUUUUCUAGAAUAUUCUCUCUUCCAAUCACUUUGUUCCAAUUCCAUUCCCUGAUGUGCUUUUGCCAUUUUUCAUAUGACUCCAUAAUACUUCUCAUAAAAGACCCCUUUUUUUUAAUUUUUUUUUUUUUUUUUUUUACUUGGGGAGCUUUACUUUAGAAAAUCUGCAUGGAAUCAGUCUGUUUUGUUUCAAAAUGUUAAUUUUAAAAGAUUUGUUGUUAAGUUCCAGAUCAUCUCUGAUUUGGCAGACCUUUAACCAAAGACAUUCCAGUGAGGACCAUCCUUCCCCACCUUUUUUUUUUUUUUUUUUGUUACAGAUAUAGUGCAUUUGUGACUCCAUUUUCCAGUAUAUACUUUUUUUUAAAAAAAAAAAAGGAAAAAUGAUAGCAUUUGAUUUGAAGGAAAUUUACCUGCUUUUUCUAGCAGGCUGAGUUUUUUGAGAGUUGGUGAUUAAAGACAGCGAUAUGUAUUGUAUUCCAAUACGACUUUAGUUUGUGUUGGAACAUCUGACUUUGUAAUAAAUUCAGUGAACCUUGGUGAUAUUUGUAUGCUCUAUUCUAUAUCAUGCAAUGAAAAACUAAAGGAAGAAAAAAAACAGAGAAGUUUUUAAAAAUGAAGUUCUUUAAUGAAAUUACAUAACAUUAAACCUCAUUUAUGUUAAUGAUCGUUUCGUAUGGAUAUGUUAUGUUAUGAAAGAAAUAUAGGAUAUCCUGUAAUGAUGGGGGACAUGUUCUAUUUGUAGUCUACAAGAUCAUGGGUGCUCAACCAUGUGGAACGAGACAAUUGGGCACAGCUAUUUGGCCAUUGAUGCUUUGGCACGGCUGACUGAACAUUCAACCUGUUUUGGGGAUGGUAUGUUUUGGCACUGGAGGCAAACGCAUACACAUACAUACACACAUUUAGAAAUACAGAUAAAAAGAGUAAGAGAUAAAUAUUAUCAUCAUCAUUUGACAUCCAUUUUUCAUUUUGGCAUGGGUUGGACAGUUUGACCAGAACUGGCAAGUCGGAAGAUUGUGCCAAGCUCCUAUGUUUAUUUUGGCAUGGCUUUUAUGGUUGGAUGCCCUUCCUAAAGCCAACCACUUUAUAGAGUGGACUGGAUUUUUAUAUGGCACUAUCACUGGUAAGAUCCAGCACCAACAAUAAAAAUCUACAUACAGACUAGCCAUUUUGACCCAUGCUUUGCUCAGGUUUUGGUGGUGGUGUUGUUUUGUGCAUGUUGUCUCCUUUUCCCUUUUUUCUUUUGUUCGUCUUCUUUGCCUGGUUCUUUUUAUUGCCCUCUUCUUUACCCUCCUUUCCAAAAUCUCCCAAAUUUUUACACCCACAAUUAAAGAUAACCGCCUCUAGCCCCUGUAGCAACACGAAAAGCCACCAUUAUUCAAACAUCGCAAGCUGUAUAUCCCGUAAAACUCAAUUUUUUUCCAUAUUCCUCACCAUGGCAACCAAACGGUAGCCCCGAGUAACUUGCAACCCCCCUCACACCAUUGCCCACCCCAUUUUACCCCCGGUGUAAAUUUUGGUGCCAAUCCGACCCCAUCUACCGCCCCUUAAACCGUUCCCAUCCCAAAAUGAGACAAACAACCAAGAAAUCAAACAACUUUUUCGCAUUUCAGCUUUAUAGAUAUUGAUAAAAAGAGAGAAAGAGAUUACAUUAAUUAAUUCUGUUAAUUAAUCCUAUUAAUUAAUCAAUUAAUAAAUUGUAAACCCUCUCCCUCUCUUCAUAUACAUAAAGAGAAACAUACUCACAUGGAUAAACAGAGAAAGUGGUGGGGAGAAGGAAAAAAACAUUAAAUGUUUGAUAUAAAAAAAGUCAGCAUCGAACCAACAAUGCUAAAAUGGCCGUGCCAAUAUGUUUUGUAUUCUCAGUCACAUUUGUUCUUGUUCUCGUGACUUACAUAUAUACUGUAUCCCAUCUUUAGGGGACACCCUGGAUUUAAUUUACACCUUAUUUUCCUUAUAAUGGUUCAAUUAUUUUUUUUUUUUCAAAUUUAUGUAUAAAGAAAUUUGUUGUGUAUAUUCACUCCAUGCUUGUGUAUAUAAAUAAAUGUGUACCUGUAUGUGCAAUAUAUAAUAUAUAUAUAUUGUGUGUAUAGAUAUGUGAAUGAGUUUCAUUGUAUAUUUAUCUUCUCAAAAGUUAUGUAAUCUAUUAUAUUUAUUCAAUAUUUCUGUUUAAAUGUUUUCC